AGUGAACGCUGGCGGUAGGCCUAACACAUGCAAGUCGAACGGCAGCACAGUAAGAGCUUGCUCUUACGGGUGGCGAGUGGCGGACGGGUGAGGAAUACAUCGGAAUCUACUUUUUCGUGGGGGAUAACGUAGGGAAACUUACGCUAAUACCGCAUACGACCUACGGGUGAAAGCAGGGGAUCUUCGGACCUUGCGCGAUUGAAUGAGCCGAUGUCGGAUUAGCUAGUUGGCGGGGUAAAGGCCCACCAAGGCGACGAUCCGUAGCUGGUCUGAGAGGAUGAUCAGCCACACUGGAACUGAGACACGGUCCAGACUCCUACGGGAGGCAGCAGUGGGGAAUAUUGGACAAUGGGCGCAAGCCUGAUCCAGCCAUACCGCGUGGGUGAAGAAGGCCUUCGGGUUGUAAAGCCCUUUUGUUGGGAAAGAAAAGUAGCAGGUUAAUACCCCGCUGUUCUGACGGUACCUAAAGAAUAAGCACCGGCUAACUUCGUG
This 492-nucleotide ribosomal RNA is filed under the name uncultured bacterium. Its description in RNAcentral is "partial 16S ribosomal RNA". It matches the Rfam family "Bacterial small subunit ribosomal RNA", at positions 29 to 507 of the family's 1533-position model. The record is from RNAcentral.